Molecule: ribosomal RNA, 253 nt
Filed under: uncultured bacterium
Lineage: Bacteria
Description: partial 16S ribosomal RNA
Rfam family: Bacterial small subunit ribosomal RNA
Source: RNAcentral
GACGAAGGAUGCAAGCGUUAUCCGGAUUCAUUGGGUUUAAAGGGAGCGUAGGUGGCCUUAUAAGUCAGUGGUGAAAUCUCUCAGCUUAACUGAGAAAUUGCCAUUGAUACUGUAGGGCUUGAGUAUAGAUGCCGUUGGCGGAAUAUGACAUGUAGUGGUGAAAUACAUAGAGAUGUCAUAGAACACCGAUUGCGAAGGCAGCUGACGAAACUAUAACUGACACUGAGGCUCGAAAGUGCGGGGAUCAAACAGG